ACUCCUACGGGAGGCAGCAGUGGGAAUAUUGGACAAUGGGGGAAACCCUGAUCCAGCCAUGCCGCGUGUGUGAAGAAGGCCUUCGGGUUGUAAAGCACUUUCAGUGGGGGAGGAAAGGUUGUUGGUUAAUACCCUAACAGCUGUGACGUUACCCACAGAAGAAGCACCGGCUAACUCCGUGCCAGCAGCCGCGGUAAUACGGAGGGUGCAAGCGUUAAUCGGAAUUACUGGGCGUAAAGCGU
Molecule: ribosomal RNA, 242 nt
Filed under: uncultured bacterium
Lineage: Bacteria
Description: partial 16S ribosomal RNA
Rfam family: Bacterial small subunit ribosomal RNA
Source: RNAcentral